UACGAAGGGGGCUAGCGUUGCUCGGAAUCACUGGGCGUAAAGGGUGCGUAGGCGGGUCUUUAAGUCAGGGGGGAAAUCCUGGAGCUCAACUCCGGAACUGCCUUUGAUACUGAAGAUCUUGAGUUCGGGAGAGGUGAGUGGAACUGCGAGUGUAGAGGUGAAAUUCGUAGAUAUUCGCAAGAACACCAGUGGCGAAGGCGGCUCACUGGCCCGAUACUGACGCUGAGGUGCGAAAGCGUGGGGAGCAAACAGG
This 253-nucleotide ribosomal RNA is filed under the name uncultured bacterium. RNAcentral's name for it is "partial 16S ribosomal RNA". It matches the Rfam family "Bacterial small subunit ribosomal RNA", at positions 524 to 776 of the family's 1533-position model. The record is from RNAcentral.